UUGCUUCUGCGGUUUGCUUCGAAUUUCUCAGACGGCAUGUUACACUGCACCGUUAACAAACUCAACUCAAAUCCAUUUUUUUUUUUCCUUUUUAAACAUGGUCUUGUUAACGAGUACUUAAAGACACUUUUUAUAUCCUACGAUCAAAAAUGGGACGUUACAUUAACGUUAGAAAAUAAUGUUAAAGUAUUAGUUCUUGAUCGUAGGACAUAAAAACAAAUAAAACAUUUGUACCAAAAAAAUAAAUAAAUAAAAACAUAAGUAUGUAAAAUAUGCAUCAUAUAUAUAUAUAUAUAUAUAUAUAUAUAUAUAUAUAUAUAUAUAUAUAUGGGGACAUAUCACAUGAAAAUGGUAUUUAUAUACGAGAAUAGUGAGAAUAAAUUAUAGCCAUUAGAUUAAAACUAAGGGAUGGGAUUAAAACACAAUUAAGUGAGUGGCAAUCAUGUGAAAACUCUCACUCCUUUCACGCUUCUUCUGCAUUCCGUCUCUUUCAAAUCUUCCUUACCCUUCACCAUCUCUUCAACUCUUUUAUUUUCCAUUUUCCUGAUUCAAUUUACAUCAACAUCUUAGCCCUUCUUCAACAUAAUCAUCGAUCCAACUCAAUGAUUAAUCAUCCGAUUUCGAAAAUACUCAAUUUCAGGGGGUUUCCAAUUUAAUUUCAGAUACAUAUUCAUGCUAAAUAUCAAUUUCAGCAAUUUCUUUUUUAUGGGUUUCAGGAACAAAAUUGGUUAUCAAAUUGGGGAAAAUUAGGGGUGUCAACAGCUUCUUUUCUUUCUCCUUCUAAAGAUUUGAGUUUAUCAAAUUUGUUCAAUUUGAUUGUUUUGAUGCUAAAAAC
This 835-nucleotide long non-coding RNA is filed under the name Medicago truncatula (barrel medic). Its description in RNAcentral is "long non-coding RNA (MTRU_LNC006086)". Lineage: Eukaryota; Viridiplantae; Streptophyta; Magnoliopsida; Fabales; Fabaceae. The record is from RNAcentral.